GAUCAAAAGCGCGCAUGGACGGCCCAGAUCUCACAAGUGCGGACAGCUCAAAUUGAAUCACGUAUGGACGGCCCCGAUCGCAUCGCAAUGGACGGUCCAGAUUUAUUUCUAAUUUAAUCGCGAUCGGAUAGCCCAGAUUAAAUCGUGAUGGACAGCUUAGAUUAAAAGGAAAAGGUUAUAAAUAACCUCAUCCACACCCAAACUCAAACCCUAGCUGCCAGAGCUCUCGCUGGAGAAGACGACCCAGCC
RNAcentral lists this long non-coding RNA (249 nucleotides) under Carica papaya (papaya). RNAcentral's name for it is "long non-coding RNA (CPAP_LNC012201)". The record is from RNAcentral. Lineage: Eukaryota; Viridiplantae; Streptophyta; Magnoliopsida; Brassicales; Caricaceae.